This 632-nucleotide ribosomal RNA is filed under the name Cystastrum aff. externum IMUFRJ 52019. RNAcentral's name for it is "eukaryotic LSU rRNA". It matches the Rfam family "Eukaryotic large subunit ribosomal RNA", at positions 38 to 657 of the family's 3401-position model. The record is from RNAcentral. Lineage: Eukaryota; Fungi; Basidiomycota; Cystobasidiomycetes; Cystobasidiales; Cystobasidiaceae.
GCAUAUCAAUAAGCGGAGGAAAAGAAACUAACAAGGAUUCCCCUAGUAACGGCGAGUGAAGUGGGAAAAGCUCAACUUUGAAAUCUGGCACCUUCGGUGUCCGAAUUGUAGUCUCUAGAAGUGUUUUCCGUGCUGGCCCAUGUGUGAGUCUGUUGGAACACAGCGUCAUAGAGGGUGACAACCCCGUUCAUAACAUGGACCCCAGUGCUUUGUGAUACACUCUCGACGAGUCGAGUUGUUUGGGAAUGCAGCUCAAAUUGGGUGGUAAAUUCCAUCUAAAGCUAAAUAUUGGCGAGAGACCGAUAGCAAACAAGUACCGUGAGGGAAAGAUGAAAAGCACUUUGGAAAGAGAGUUAACAGUACGUGAAAUUGCUAAAAGGGAAACGAUUGAAGUCAGACGUGCGUGAUGCAGUUCAGCUCUGGUUCGCCAGAGUGUAUUCUGUGUCUUUGCAGGCCAACAUCGGUUUCACGAGGCGGAUAAAGGUUUGAGAAAUGUGGCAGCUUCGGCUGUGUUAUAGUCUCUUGCUGAAUACGCCUCGAGGGACCGAGGAACGCAGCGCGCCGCAAGGCAAAGCUUCCGGGCUUUUCGCGCUUAGGAUGUUGGUGAAAUGGCUUUAAACGACCCGUCUUGA